Numida meleagris (helmeted guineafowl) is the source of this 2275-nucleotide long non-coding RNA. The record is from Ensembl. NCBI's taxonomy places the organism in Eukaryota, Metazoa, Chordata, Aves, Galliformes, Numididae.
GGGACUGGGAUGGACUGGGAUGAACUGGGAGGGACUGGGAAAGGACUGGGAUGGAUUGGGAUAGAUUGGGAGGGACUGGGAAAGGACUGUGAGGGACUGGGGAGAGAAUAAGGGGGGCUGGAGGGGACUGGGAGAGACUGGGAUGGACUGGGAGGGACUGGGAGGCACUGGGAAGGGACUGGGAUGGACUGGGAGGGGAUGGAGGGAAUAAGAGGGAGUUGGGGUGGACUGGGAUGAACUGGGAAGAGACUGGGACAAACUGGGAAGGGACUGGGGUGGAUUGGGAGGGACUGGGGAAGACUGGGAUAGACUGGAGUAUACUGGGAAGGGACUGGAAUGGCCUGGCCUAUAUUGAGUUGUACUGAUCUAUACUGGUCUAUACUGAUCUAUACUAGUCUAUACUGGUUUAUACUGGUCUAUACUGGCCUAUACUGGUCCAUACUGGGGUCAGUUCCAUGCCACCACAGGCAGCACUGGGCCUUUCCUGGACCUGCCACUGAUCUGUACUGGGGCUGAGUGCCCCGAACAAAAGCCCCACACCCAUACUGGUCUGUACUGGUUUAUAAUGGCCUGUACUGGUUUAUACUGGUCUGCACUGGUCUAUACUGGGGUCAGUUGCAUGCCACCAUGGGCGGCAAUGGGAGUGUCCUGGACCUGCCACUGGUCCGUACUGGGCCUGAACAAAAGUACUGCAUCCCAUAUGGGUCUACACUGGUCUGUACUGGUCUAUACUGGUCCAUACUGGUCUAUACUGGUCCAUACUGGUGUCGGUUCCAUGCCACCAUGGGUAGCACUGGGCCUUUCCAGGACCUGCCACUGAUCCAUACCGGGGCUGAGCGCUCUGAUCAAAACCCCUUCGCCCCAUCCUGGUCUAUACUGGUCUAUACUGGUCCAUCCUGGUCUAUACUGGUCCAUCCUGGUCUAUACUGGUCCAUCCUGGUCUAUACUGGUCCGUCCUGGUCUAUACUGGUCCGUCCUNGCUAUGGGGCAGACAGGAUCGCUAUGGGGCAGAUGAGGGCGCUAUGGGGCAGACAGGAUCGCUAUGGGGCAGAUGUGGGCGCUAUGUUGCAGACAAGAUUGCUAUGGGGCAGACAGGAUCGCUAUGGGGCAGACAGGAUCACUAUGGGGCAGAUGAGGGCGCUAUGUUGCAGACAGGAUCUCUAUGGGGCAGAUGUGGGCACUAUGGGGCAGACAGGAUCGCUAUGGGGCAGACAGGAUCGCUAUGGGGCAGAUGUGGGCGCUAUGGGGCAGACAGGAGUGCUGUGUGGUGGAUAAGGGUGCUGUGGGGCAGCCACGUGUGCUAUGGGGCAGGUAGUGGGGCGCUAUGGGGCAGGCAGUGGGGUUACCUGUGCACUUGCGCAUGGGGCCGGCGGCGCCGUGGGGCGCGCCGUGGGGCGCGCUGUGGGGCAGGUGGCAGUUGAAGUCCUCCUCCCAGAACUCGUGGAACCAGAGGUUGCGGCGGUUGUUCUCCAGGGAGCGCGACGUGAAGUACUCGUCGAAACCUAUGGGGCGCCCCAUGGCGCUAUAGGGCCUGCCCCAUAGCUGCCCCAUAGUGCUCUGGGGCGGCGCAGAGCGGUAGGAAAGGGAUGCGACCCCGAAGCUCGCCUGAUAUAAUGGGGUGGCUAUGGGGCAGCUAUGGGGCAGCCGUGGGGCCACUGUGGAGUCACUAUGGGGUCUCUAUGGGGCAGAUAUGGGGUCACUAUAGGAUCACUGUAGGGCCGCUAUGGGGCUGCUAUGGGGCAGCCAUGGGGUAGCUAUGGGGCAGCUAUGGGUCACUAAAGGAUCACUAUGGGGCAACUAUACAGCCACUAUGGGGCAGCUAUGGGGUCGCCAUGGGGCAGCUAUGGGUCACUUCGGGGCAGCUAUGGGGUGUCUAUGUGGUCACUAUAGGAUAGCUAUGGUGCAGCUAUGAGUCACUAUGGCGUUGCUAUGGGGCAGCUAUGGGGCUGCUAUGGUAUCAUUAUGGGUCACUAUGGGGCUGCUAUGGGGUCACUAUGGGUCGCUAUGGGGCAGCUAUGGGGCCGCUAUGGGGUCACUAUGGGUCACUAUGGGGCUGCUAUGGGGUCACUAUGGGUCACUAUGGGUCACUAUGGGCCGCUACGGGGCAGCCACGGGGUUGCUAUGGGGCUGCUAUGGGGUCACUAUGGGGUCGCUAUGGGGCCUCUAUGGGGCUGCUAUGAGGCUGCUAUGGGGCCGCUAUGGGGUCACUAUGGGUUGCUAUGGGCCGCUAUGGGUCAGCCAUGGGGUCGCUAUGGGGCAGCUAUGGGGCUGCUAU